GACGAACGCUGGCGGCGUGCUUAACACAUGCAAGUCGAACGGAAAGGCCCUGCUUUUGUGGGGUGCUCGAGUGGCGAACGGGUGCGUAACACGUGAGUAACCUGCCCUUCACUUUGGGAUAACUUCAGGAAACUGGGGCUAAUACCGGAUAGGAGCUCCUGCUGCAUGGUGGGGGUUGGAAAGUUUCGGCGGGUGGGGAUGGACGCGCGGCUUAUCAGCUUGCUGGUGGGGUAGUGGCUUACCCAGGCUUUGACGGGUAGCCGGCCUGAGAGGGUGACCGGCCACAAUGGGACUGAGAGACGGCGCAGACUGCUACGGGAGGCAGCAGGGGGGAAUCUUGCACAAUGGGCGGAAGCCUGAUGCAGCAACGCCGCGUGCGGGAUGCCGGCCUUCGGGUUGUAAACCGCUUUCGCCUGUGACGAAGCGUGAGUGACGGUAAUGAGUGAAGAAGCACCGGCUAACUACGUG
This 468-nucleotide ribosomal RNA is filed under the name uncultured bacterium. RNAcentral describes it as "partial 16S ribosomal RNA". It matches the Rfam family "Bacterial small subunit ribosomal RNA", at positions 28 to 507 of the family's 1533-position model. The record is from RNAcentral.